UCAAUCUCUUCAUCCCGAAAUCUUCCUAUUUCCUCUUUAUUUUCUUUCUUCUCCCGAAAGCAGAUUUCUCUUCUUCGACCCUCCUUCUCUCCAUCGUUCAUUGGAGUCCUUCUUCAACCCGCAAGCUCAUUCUCUCCGUCAAUCGUCCAUGUUCUCGUCAUCUUCUAGCACGAUAAUUUCUAUUCCUUGCUCCUCUCUUCGUCUUUUCUGUGCGUUCUCUACAAGGUUUUCCUUUCCCUUUUUUGUUUAGAUUUUCUGACAUUUUCUUUCCAUUAAGUGAUUGAAUCUCUGUGUAUUUUGCUUCAAAGGACCAUUGAGUAAAGAAACUGUUUCUAGUGCCGGCGAAUCAUUGUCUAGAAGGCAUUUUGAUUUCCUCCACAAAUCUGCAGCAAGAAAUCUCGAUUACCCAAAUGAUUGGUAUUUGUUGUUUAUAAAUUGGUAGGAUUGUGGUUGGACUCAUAUGAAUGUCUCUCUCUCUCUCUCUCUCUCUCUCUCUCUCUCUCUCUCUCUCUCUUUAAUCAUUUGUGUGUUGCUAUCCAGAUGUUUUAGGGUUUGAAACUUUAUGAGGAAAUAGAGUCAUUUGGUUCCCUUCUUGUUCUAAGAUUUUUCAGUUUUCUGAUUUAAAAAAUAGAAGGAAAAAAACAUUUCAGAAUAGCAAGAAAACAGUUCUAAACUUGGGUAUAAAUUAGGUUCUAAAAAAUCUAAACCCAAAUAUAUUUUGUUACAGAACAAGAGAUGACAAAAUUUCCCCUGUUUAUAACAAACCAAAUCCUCCUAGCAUUUGAGAUGAGACCCAACCCGUGUUUGUUAUAAUUUGAAGUUAGUGUUUCUCGAAUUUGAUAAUAAUUGGUGGGUUUUCUGUGUCGGGGUUGAGGUUAGGUCUAAUAAUAAUUUGGGCUCAAACAUGCAUGAUUAAUUAUAUGUUAAUUACAGCCUUAUAAUGUUUCUCUAAAAAUACUUGCCUAGCAACAACCAAGAUUUCAUUUGAGGCUUGAAAACUAUGAUUUUGAAUGAACUAUACAUGAACAAGACAAUAUACCGAUCCUGCAUAUCUGUGUUCUGAAGAAGGUACAUGUCUAUUUAUGCGUGGAAGUUGUAAAUAUAUGAGAUCCUACAUAUCUGUGUUUUUUUUCUUUUUUCUUUUUUCAUUUUCCUGCAUGCAAUAUUCUCAUUCUUUGUGGAAGUUGUAAUGUCAGUGACGAACAUAAUAGGAAUCUCUCUAAAUUAUUCACUCUGUUGUAAUGUCUAUUUUGACUCCCAAAUUUUUUUUUUCACAUUACAUUGGAACUGAAACAUAGUGUGAGAAAACUUCCAAAUUGUUUAAAAUCAGAUUUUUUGGUAGUGCUUGAUUUGGGGUCAGACUUGUUAUUUUGCCACACGUGGUUCUUCUAUGUUUGAGAAAAUAACCCCUCAUUAAUGUCUUUCUUGCUGCUCACUUAUUAUUAUGCAUACAUAGUUUAGGUUAUCCACUUUGUACCUCAAAUUUCAGUCUAUUUUACUUUAUUUUUGCAAUUAAGUGACUAUUGGGAACCCAAAACAUUAACAUGUUUAUUAUAGAAUAAUUUCUUGCAUAGAUUCCUCAAGUGGUUAUUAGGUAAAUAUAUCUCAGAUAGUGCAUGACUGUCCUUGCACAGAUUCAUGUGAUCAACCAACUCAUUUAUUGGACUUGAAUACCGGAUAACUUUUUUGACUUCUUGAAAAUUUAAUAUUUUUUAAGGAUGAACACAUAUUUUGAUGGUGACCCAUUCUUCACUACUCUCUUACAAAGUGAAGGAGAGGGUUGUAAUCCUAAUGCAACAUUCUAAUAUUAUGGUCCAAGCAAUUCCCAAUAAUGGUGAAAAGAGGUAUUUUUCAAAAAAAGUUUAAAGAUGUGCAUCUUUCACUAUAGAGGAAGAUAACCUCCUCAUCUCAACUUGGCUCAACAUUAGCAUUGAUGCGAUAAAGGGUAUUGAUCAAAAGUUCACUCAAAUGUAAGAAAUGAUUACCAUAUUUUAUCAUGAGCAUAAAAAACCGAACAUUGCCAACCAUUCUGAGAGCUUUUUGAUGAAUUGGUGGUCCACGAUUCAAAAAUGGACCAAUAAAUUUUGUGCAUAUGUAGCACAAGUAGAGUUAUUGUACCCAAGUAGUGCAACGGAGUAAAACAAGGUAUGUACUAUUUCCUUUUAGUCAUGCAAUUAUGUAGGGCUUAUUUAUGAACUAACAAAUUUUUUUUAUACCUUUGUAGAUUGAGAAGGAAAAUAUGUUGUACUAAGAGAUGCUAAAGUGUAAUUUUAUAAUGGAGCAUUGUUAGUGUCUCUUGAGAUACCAACCAAAAUGGCAGCAACACAUCUCUACCCUUAGUAAGAAGAGAAGGCCACAAGAAAUUAAGUUUGGUGAAGUUGCUGUUGAUAUAACCGAGGAGGACUUGGAGACCUCCUCGAUUAAGUUCUUGCUAAGAGACCUCCAGGCAAAAAAGCUGAAAAAGAAAGGGAGAGGAAGCGGAAGUUGAUGGUAGGCAACAGUAGUGAGAUCAAGAAUGCCUUAGCUAAGAUGAUUAAGGAUAGAGUGACGAUCAUGGAAGAGUGGAGAAAUGCUGCGUUGAAGGCAGACCGCGAAAGAUCAGAAAUGUUUGAACUAAAGAAGCAGAAGUUUGAGGCAAAGAUGAUGAGGCUAGAUCUAAGUGGCACGAAUGCCAUGCAACACGAAUAUUUCCAUAAUAUUCAACUCAGAAUUUUUGAGGCAUCAAGGUCCAGUCGAAAUCCUACUCCCUCUCUCCAUCUUCUUAUUCUCUUCCUCCUCCCUCUCUCCAUCAAUCUUCUUCUUUUAGUACUCUUGCUUCCUUUUGUGGGUUGUUUGAAGAUUUUGCCAUAGUUUGGCUUCUGUGGCAUUGAGGAUCAUCGAGCAACGACUACCCUGAAAGACAACCACAAGAAGGCACUAACACAACCUUGGUUGUCCAUCUCUUUGUGAGAUCCUCUAUGGGUGGCCUUCAAGAACCACCAUGGCUGCAGUACGACGUGGCUUUGAGUUGUGUUUGCUUUUUUGUUCUAGAUCUACUCUUAGAUUUGAUCUCAAAAUUCAUAUUUUAUUUUCUAUUUAUUUGCAGAUCUCAGAAUCCUUGAUGUGCUCUAAUAUCUGGGUGUUGUUUUUUUUUUUUUUAAUUUAUUGCAGAUUCUUUUCAAACAAGCAAGACACUCGGUUGAUUCCAUGUGUUUUUAAGCUUUUACCCUGUAUCGUUUCUGAGUCUUUAGGGUCUUUGUGACAUUGAGCUUUUACCAUAUAUUGUUUGAUUUUGUUUAUGGGUCUUUAUGCAUGGUUGAGUUUAUUCACCUCACCAUGAUCUGAGCAUGCCUAUUAUUUUGACAUUUUUGCAUUGAGUGGAUUUCACAAAUGAUUCCCAAGUUUUAGAUGGGUUUCUAUGAUUGAUCUUUAUUAUUAUUGCUGCUGGUUUAUAUGGGAGUUAAUGUUAAUUAAUUGUAGUUUGAUCAUUGCCAUAUGUUCAUCUAGUGGUUUGUGUAGUCUGUGAUCUAAAGUAGCUUUUGGCCUCUAGGUUGUUUAAUAGACAAAAUGUUAUUGAUACAGUGACUCUGACUCGAUGGAUUGAGUCUUGUUGUUGUUGAUUAUAUCCUAUGCUUAGUUGGAUUGAGUCUUGGAUGGCUGGUAUUUCAUUGUAUUGCUUGUUGUACAUGCAAUUAUCUAGAUCUAUUUGCUGUAAGUUUUCUUGGAGCUUUUGAUGUAUUCAUUUCAUGUGCCUCAAUUACAUUUUGCAUUUGGUAUUUUAAGUCACUCAUGAAUUUGAUUUGAUGAUGGGAGACUUCUUGCAGAUUGGUAAAAUCUGAUCCUACAAUUUUAUAGCUAUUGAAAAUUUAAUCUUGACUAUUGAAAAGCUAGCAUAUAUGAAGGAUGUUACUUAUCAUCCCAUACCACACACUUUAUAUAUUUUAAUAUUAUUUUUUAUUUUAUUUUAUUCUUAUUAAACUAACUGAGUUGUUAUAUUUAUCAUCUAUACACUACAUAAUUGUUAUGGAAAAAUUUUAAAAAAAAUUAAAAUAGGUAUGGUAUGUGUGGAUGAUAAGUAGAGUUAUUGUGUAUAUGUCCUCCUAAAUGAUAAUUUGUCCUUGCCAUUUUUUGUGGUUUUGGAUAUUUUAUUAGUAGUCUAAUUUCUUUUUUUCCUGCUUCUUUUAGCAGAAUGGACUGGACUGUGCAAGGUUCAGGUACUCAGGAUGAUAAGUGGACUUGCACACAUGAGCAGCUCUACUUCAGGGUCACGUUAGGAACGGGCUAGAUGAAUUGCCUACUGAUGCUCGACACAACUAGCUUUUGUCCAUUCUAGCUCCUUUCAACCUCAAGCAUUUAUUGGUGAAUUUGCAUCUCCACAUACUUGGCACUCCUGGCUUGGUCAUCCAAACCCUUGCAACAACCACUCUUACAAUAAAAAAAUUUCAUCUACCUAUUAAUGGCCAAAGUCACAUACUCUACCUCACCCUCCCACCACCUCUAGAUUAACCAAACCUUUUAAUAUUUUGUUUCCUGAUGUUUGGGGACCGGCGCCUGUGCCCUCCACCAUUGGUUGUUGUUUUUAUUUAUCUAUAGUUAACGACUUUUCUAAAUAUAUUUGGCUUUUUUCACUUCAAUCUAAGUCCGAUGUUAUGACUAUUUUUUUAGCUUUUUCUCAAAUAUGUUAAUAAUUUCUUCUCAUUACAUGUUGCUUCCGUUCAAAUGGACUGGGGAGGGAAAUUUCUACCUUUACAUAAAUUUUUUUAAUACACUGGCAUUCGCCAUUGUGUGAUGUGUCAUUAUUCACUUGUCCAAAAUGACUGUUGAACAAAGACACCGUCAUAUUGUAGAAAUUGCUCUUUCACUUCUUGCAAAUGCCUUCGUCCUACAAAGUUUUUGGGCCAAAGCCUUUUUAACGGUAUUUUGUCUUAUCAACCAUAUGCCCACUCCAAUCCUAAAUAACAAAUCCCCAUUUCAAAUCCUUUUUCAUCAACCCCAGGAUUAUAAUUUUUUAUGAAACUUUGGAUGUCAAUGUUGGCCCAAUUUACGUCCCUUCAAUCACCACAAAUUAGACUUUCGUUUUAAAUCCUGUGAUUUUAUGGACUAUAGCCCAAUCAUAAGGGAUAUUGCUGUCUUUACAUUCCCACGGGUAAGACUUAUAUCUCCCAAGAUGUCCAAUUCUAUGAAAUUUUUUUCCCCUUUGCAUCAAUUCCUCAACCUGGGUCUGGUCAAAAUUCAGUCAAUUCAUCAUCUCCUAGCCCGUCUUACCCAUGUCUUCUUCAAAUUCCCAUUUGAUUCCCAGUUCAUCAUCUUUUGAGCCCAUCUUACCUUCAAGCUUGCUAUUACAGCCCACCUUUUCACCUCAUCAUAUUUCUCAAACUGAAGCCCAUAAUGCAUCUUCUCAAUCACCUAGGCCACCCCUUCACAAACUGAAUUUCCAGCGCUGCAACUGUCUCCUCUACGCAAUCCCUCUUUGCAACUCCAAGCCACCCCAUGGUUACAUGCUCCCCCAACAAUAUUCAUCGCCCCCUUCACCGUUCUGAUGGCACCAUACCCUGGCCACCCUUAAAACCCUCCCUACAUCUAACGAGCUCUACCUAUACUCCUAUCCUAGAAGAACCAACCUCCUUCAUGGAGGCUUCCAUGUAUCCCAAAUGGCGUGCAACAAUGGCUUCUGAAGUUGAAGCACUUCUCCUUAACCAAACAUGGGAUUUAAUCCCUUACUCUUUCUCUCUUAACAGUCUUGGGUGCAAAUGGGUUCUUAAAUCCAAACAGCAUCCCGAUGGCACUCUUGAGCGACGCAAGGCUUGCCUUGUCGUGAAAGGGUUUCAUUAGCAAGCUGGGGUUGAUUUCACAGAAACUUAUAGCCCCAUCGUCAAACAUGCGACCAUGCAUCUUCUCCUCUCUAUUACUGUUUUCCUCUGGUUGGUCAUUACAUCAGUUGGAUAUUCAAAAUGCCUUCCUGCAUGGUGACUUGGAAGAAGAUGUUUACAUGCAUCAACUGUCGGAGUUUGCAAAUCCGGAUUACCCCACUCAUAUCUGCAAAUUGGGUGGUCAUUGUCACAGGAAUCAGUUGUGGUCUUCUGUGUCUACUGACUGUUUAUAAUUAUGCUCACCGCAAGGGAUUGAUUGGUUCUUGAAUUCAAACCAACACAUCAAGUAUUCGUGCUGUAAAGGAGUCUUGAGCUUGAACACCAUGACUCUCUUAUCAUAGGCAGUAUCCUAAACUAAUUGCUCUGUCUCUCUCUCUGAAGGGAACUUUCAACCAAGAUCGCUCCCCUGUGGCAGCAGUGUUUUAAUGCCAAGGAAGCAUGGCGAGUUCAUUAAAUUAUCGACAAUCUGAUUUAUUGGUUUUAGGAACCAACUCAUACAAGUGUAAAAAUAGUCGCCAGAAUAAGUUAUUGUUUCGAUUUUGUCUCACAAUUCUUCUUAUUGUUCUUUAUAGGUAAUCAAUAUUUGGUUGAAACGUUGGAUAUAAGGUGAAUAUUUACACAUACUUGGGAAAGAAUGACAAUUUGACUAUGACC
Carya illinoinensis is the source of this 6503-nucleotide long non-coding RNA. RefSeq lists it as uncharacterized. NCBI's taxonomy places the organism in Eukaryota, Viridiplantae, Streptophyta, Magnoliopsida, Fagales, Juglandaceae. The transcript is spliced from 3 exons. The record is from RefSeq and is a predicted model, not a curated record.